CCUGGCCUCUCAAGAUUCAGCUUUCACCCUGCGGCCAGCUGGCCUGACCAUCUGCCUCCUUUCCGCCUCCCUCCCUCCUUCUCUUCACCUAUAUAAUCGACUUCCUGUGAAAAAGAUAUUGAGGCUGAUUCACAAGGACUUAGUCAAAUGGGUCUGAGAAGUCUCCAGGCACAGGAAAGUACCCCCUGUGGGUUGUCAAGAACCUCCUGGCUGCUGUGGAUGGAGGUCCUCCAGAGCAGGUAUGGAAGUGGAUUUACACUGGAGACCAGAGGACCAAAGAAGGGAGAUGCUACUCAAAGGAGGCUGACCCUGACCUGCCAGAGGAAGCACAAUUCAAACAGGUCUACUGCUAAUAACUUUAUCAUUUUACUUGGUCCCAGAAAAUUGAGGAGUCCUACACACUUAAUAGCCUAGGAACAAAGGGUAAUCAUCCCCUUGUUUAAGCCCAUCUCUUGUUUGUGUAUUCCCUCAUUUAAGAAAUUAGGCCAGGAGGAGGCAAGCAGGGAACAGGAAAUUCUUCAUAGUUACUACUUAAUAGUAGUAGUAGUAGUGUUAGAAAGUUAAGACAUUAGCAGGCCUGGAGAUACUCAACUGGAGACUAUGUCAAAAGCAAGGAAAAUAGAACUGUUUUUCUUCACUUUCUUAAUUAUUAGCUAUGAUAAAAUCCACACAAGCUUGCAAUUUCAAACUUUAGCCCAAGAGAAUGUAACAGGGUCCAUACAAAGUCCUGACCAUGGUGAAGGGUUGGAAAAGCCUCAAGAUCUCAAAACAAACAAAAAGGAAAACAUGUGCCUGUGGAAUGAAUGAGGACCUGCUUUCCUCUGAAGUAGGUCAGUACAGCCCAUUUUCCUUGUGAAAGAACAAUGACCUCAGAGGAAGGGAAGAACAUUCCUUGAAAGACCCAGUGAAUCAUGCAAACACAACCUGAGACUUCAGUGCAACUGCCAUCUUGGUGUUUGCCCACCUUCGAAGGUGGAUUCUCCCUCCCACUCUGAAAAUCUAUCAUUUUGCAAUAAACUCUGCCUG
Heterocephalus glaber (naked mole-rat) is the source of this 1026-nucleotide non-coding RNA. The record is from RefSeq and is a predicted model, not a curated record. NCBI's taxonomy places the organism in Eukaryota, Metazoa, Chordata, Mammalia, Rodentia, Bathyergidae.